GCAUGCCUACAACAUAGUGUUAAUGCACCAGAUCUCAUUAGAACUCUGUAGUUAAGCGUGAUCGGGAUAGAGUAGUACUGAGAUGGGUGAUUUCCUCGAAAGUCAUAGUGUUUUACAUGCC
Non-coding RNA from Picea glauca (white spruce), 121 nucleotides. Lineage: Eukaryota; Viridiplantae; Streptophyta; Pinopsida; Pinales; Pinaceae. The record is from Rfam.